Non-coding RNA from Clostridium sp. CAG:1219, 606 nucleotides. The record is from Rfam. Lineage: Bacteria; Bacillati; Bacillota; Clostridia; Eubacteriales; Clostridiaceae.
GGUAUAAUAUAUAUUGAUGGUGCAUUAUUCUAGUUGCACGUAUUGUUAUGAGGGUGGGGCUAAAAAUCCACUAAAAGGCACAUCGUUGAAGUUUCUUGUUUAUGCGCGUUACGCCCAGUUUUGUGUAUUUUCAGGAAGUAAGAUUUUAGGGAUAAAUAUAACGGCAUAUAUUCUUUCCCCUAUUUUCGCGGAGGCUUCAAAUAUUCAUUAUCUAACUUAUUUGGAGUAUAACCUAUAUUGAGUGCCAAGACACAAAAUAUAGUGUAGCCUGUCUCGAGUGAUGGUAUUGGGAUUUAUUAAAAAGUAAAAAUGAGUUAUGGCCAUAGCAUGUUUUUAUAUGAUAAUGAAACUAUUAUUGCAAAAAAGACUAAUAACAAUACACGCAAUAAAAGGAAAACUUCUAGAAUGUUUGCUAUAUAAGCAAGAGUAUUUAGGGAUUAAGGUACGGAUUUAAGUGGCGAUCUAGUUUCUUGACAAGGCAACUUCAAGAUGCUGUUUUUAAAUGGAAACAGCCAAAUAGUAAUGUUUGGUAUAGCAGUAGAGAAAUUCUACUAGACCUCAAACCGUAAAAUUUACCUAAUUACUACCAUCUUUUUUUUAUUUAAG